Molecule: ribosomal RNA, 645 nt
Filed under: uncultured bacterium
Lineage: Bacteria
Description: bacterial SSU rRNA
Rfam family: Bacterial small subunit ribosomal RNA
Source: RNAcentral
CCCCGCGUACAUGCCACCGGGGCAUCCCGGAGGCAGGAAAGGCUUCGGCCGGACAGGGAUGGGCAUGCGGCGCAUUAGGCAGUAGGCGGGGUAACGGCCCACCUAACCGACGAUGCGUAGGGGUUCUGAGAGGAAGGUCCCCCACACUGGUACUGAGACACGGACCAGACUCCUACGGGAGGCAGCAGUGAGGAAUAUUGGUCAAUGGUCGGGAGACUGAACCAGCCAAGCCGCGUGAGGGAGGAAGGUACAGAGUAUCGUAAACCUCUUUUGUCAGGGAACAAAGACUGGGACGCGUCCCCGGAUGAGUGUACCUGAAGAAAAAGCAUCGGCUAACUCCGUGCCAGCAGCCGCGGUAAUACGGAGGAUGCGAGCGUUAUCCGGAUUUAUUGGGUUUAAAGGGUGCGCAGGCGGUCUGUUAAGUCAGCGGUCAAAGCCCGGGGCUCAACCCCGGCCCGCCGUUGAAACUGGCAGUCUCGAGUUGGAGAGAAGUAUGCGGAAUGCGCGGUGUAGCGGUGAAAUGCAUAGAUAUCGCGCAGAACUCCGAUUGCGAAGGCAGCAUGCCGGCUCCACACUGACGCUGAGGCACGAAAGCGUGGGUAUCGAACAGGAUUAGAUACCCUGGUAGUCCACGCAGUAAACGAU